GAUGAACGCUGGCGGCGUGCCUAAUACAUGCAAGUAGAACGCUGAAGGAAGGAGCUUGCUCUUUCCGGAUGAGUUGCGAACGGGUGAGUAACGCGUAGGUAACCUGCCUGGUAGCGGGGGAUAACUAUUGGAAACGAUAGCUAAUACCGCAUAACAGUAGAUGUUGCAUGAUAUCUACUUAAAAGGUGCAAUUGCACCACUACCAGCUGGACCUGCGUUGUAUUAGCUAGUUGGUGAGGUAACGGCUCACCAAGGCGACGAUACAUAGCCGACCUGAGAGGGUGGUCGGCCACCAUGGGACUGAGACAAGGCCCAGACUCCUACGGGAGGCAGCAGUAGGGAAUCUUCGGCAAUGGACGGAAGUCUGACCGAGGAACGCCGCGGGAGUGAAGAAGGGUUUCGGAUCGUAAAGCUCUGUUGUAAGAGAAGAACGAGUGUGAGAGUGGAAAGUUCACACUGUGACGGUAUCUUACCAGAAAGGGACGGCUAACUACGUG
This 497-nucleotide ribosomal RNA is filed under the name uncultured bacterium. RNAcentral describes it as "partial 16S ribosomal RNA". It matches the Rfam family "Bacterial small subunit ribosomal RNA", at positions 28 to 507 of the family's 1533-position model. The record is from RNAcentral.